RNAcentral lists this unclassified non-coding RNA (2588 nucleotides) under Trichogramma pretiosum. Its description in RNAcentral is "actin-interacting protein 1, transcript variant X4". Lineage: Eukaryota; Metazoa; Arthropoda; Insecta; Hymenoptera; Trichogrammatidae. The record is from RNAcentral.
CACACACAUAUACGUAUUUAAGCACCUCACUCCGCUCGGCGACUCCGUAUAUACAUACUGUAUAUAUUCUGCGUGUGCAGAGAGCAACGAAAUUUCGCGUGUCUAUAUGGACGUGCUGUUCAUGUGUGCGUGUGCGUGAGCGUAAACUCAUAAUAGCGUGGCGCAGAGCGUCAUUAAAGCGCCGAGAAAGAGAGUGCGAGUGAGCGAGGUACAUAUAAGAUACACACGAGUCAGUCUUGGCGAAAACCUCGCAGCCGCCGCAAUCUGCUUUUCUGCUGCUGCUGCUGCCGCUAUCUCGUAUAUAUAGCUCUGACACAGUGAUUCGAGUGAGGCUCGAGGAGCAGCUCGCGAAGUAUAUCGAAAAAAACGACGCACACGCUAUUUUGGCGGCGGCUGCUACUGCUGCUGCUGCAGUGACUCCCUGAAUUUUCGUCGUUUCCAACGAAACAGUUUUGACUCCGAUACGUAGUACUGUCGAAAAAGAAAAGGGACUUCUCUCUCCUACGUUAAUAAAACAUAUACAACGGUACAUAUACAUAUACGUGUAUCAGUGUGAGACCGAAACAACACACGGCCAGCAGAGCAACAAUGUCCUACGAAACGAAGUACAUCUUCGCGACGCUGCCGCGCACGGCCAGGGGCCAGCCCCUGGUGCUCGGCGGCGAUCCCAAGGGCAAGAACUUCCUCUACACGAACGGCAACAGCGUGAUCAUACGCAACAUCGAUAAUCCGGCGAUCGCCGACAUCUACACGGAGCACUCGUGCCCGGUGAACGUGGCCAAGUACUCGCCCAGCGGCUUCUACAUCGCCUCGGGAGAUCAGUCGGGCAAGGUGCGCAUCUGGGACACGGUCAACAAGGAGCACAUACUGAAGAACGAGUUCCAUCCGAUCGGGGGGCCGAUCAAGGACAUCGCCUGGUCGCCCGACAGCCAGCGCAUGGUCGUGGUGGGCGAGGGACGCGAGCGCUUCGGCCACGUGUUCAUGGCCGAGACCGGCACCUCCGUCGGCGAGAUAUCCGGCCAGAGCAAGCCCAUCAACUCGUGCGACUUCAGGCCCGCGAGGCCCUUCAGGCUCGUCACCGGCAGCGAGGACAACACCAUCGCCGUCUUCGAGGGUCCCCCCUUCAAGUUCAAGAUGACCAAGCAGGAGCACUCGCGCUUCGUGCAGGCGGUCAGAUACUCGCCGUCCGGGCAUCUCUUCGCCUCGGCCGGAUUCGACGGCAAGGUCUAUCUGUACGACGGAACGAGCAGCGAACUGGUCGGCGAGGUGGGCUCGCCCGCUCACCAGGGCGGCGUCUACGGGCUCGCCUGGAAGCCCGACGGCACUCAGCUACUCACCUGCUCCGGGGACAAGACCUGCAAGCUCUGGGACGUCGAGACGAGGACCCUCGUCGACGAGUUCGUCAUGGGCAAUACGGUGGACGAUCAGCAGGUGAGCUGUCUGUGGCAAGGCAAUCACGUGCUGUCCGUGUCGCUCAGCGGAUUCAUCAACUAUCUCGACCUGAACAAUCCGCUGAAGCCGCUGCGCAUAAUCAAGGGCCACAACAAGCCCAUCACAGUAUUAACCACGAGCCUGGACAAGAGCACGAUCUACACGGGCUCGCACGACGGCUACGUGACCAGCUGGAAGUCGGCUACGGGCGAGAACGAUCGCGUCCAAGGCCAGGGCCACGGCAAUCAGAUCAACGGCAUGAAAGCCGGCGCCGAUCUCGUCUACACGGCCGGCAUCGAUGACACACUUCGCACUUUCGACAUAGCCACCAAUUCGUACGAGAACACGCAGGUGCUGAGGCUUGGAUCGCAGCCCAGAGGUUUGGAUAUUUAUAACGGUAUGGUGAUCGUCUCCGCUGUAAAACAGCUCGUGGUCACGAAGGAGGGUAGAAAAUUGUCCGGCUUACCGAUCAAUUACGAUCCGUCUAGCGUCAGUGUCAAUCAAGAGACCGGCGACGUCGCCGUUGGCUCGAAUUCCGAUAACAAGGUGUACGUUUACACUUUGGACGGUAGCAAUUUGACGCCGAAGGUGGAGCUGCAGCAUCAAGGCCCAGUCACCGACGUAUCCUUCAGUCCCGAUAACAAGUAUUUGGUGGCCUGCGACGGCAAUCGCAAAGUUAUUCUGUACGUCGCGCCGGAAUAUAAGACGCUGGCCCACAACAAAGAAUGGGGCUUCCACAGUGCCAGAGUCAACUCUGUAGCUUGGAGUCCAGAGUCGAAUAUGGUUGCCAGUGGAAGUCUGGAUACAACCAUUAUCAUUUGGAGUGUUACUAAUCCCGCGAAACACACAAUCAUCAAAAAUGCUCACUCGCAAAGUCAAAUUACUCAACUUAGAUGGUUGGACGAGGAGACGGUGAUUUCCGUUGGACAAGACUGCAACACGAAAAUAUGGCGCGUAGAAAAAAUCUGAUUGAACUGAGGGGGAGAAAAUCUGUUUUUUGUUCAAUAUUUUUCAAUGAAGAACAGCUCAUCAUUAAUAAUGGAUGCAUUUUAUUUUACUUCAUAGGGGGAUACCGUAAGAAGGAACUUGCCUCUCGUCUCAAUCGAUUACGUCACAAAUUAUAAUAAACUACACAUCACAUUAUACGGCUCUCGAAU